Molecule: long non-coding RNA, 666 nt
Organism: Passer montanus (Eurasian tree sparrow)
Lineage: Eukaryota; Metazoa; Chordata; Aves; Passeriformes; Passeridae
Exons: 2
Source: RefSeq, a predicted model, not a curated record
AAUACGAAAACUCCUUUCUCUGAGUUCCCUGUCUUUGAUUUAUUUUUAACUAGGCGCUCAUGGGAACGCGGCGCUGGAAAAUCACGUCCAGAUGUACCUAAAGAGGCGCUUUCUCUGCUGAAAACCUCUCUCCUAAGGGGAGUGAAGAAAAAAAAAUCUUUAAAGUAGUUUGAAAUUUGGUUUUGCCGUGGAUCUAACCGUAAAAAGAAGGGGCAAAGCGGCGGCUGCGUUCGAUGCAGAGACGCUCAGCGAGGAGGGAGCGGCUCUGAAAAUAGAGCGCAAAGGAGACGUGCUCCUCUAGGGCAGCCUGCACCGGGUGGAGGGGAGGCAGCUCAGAGCCCAGGGCUGUUCGCUGGUCUCUUUCCGUGCUUUGGGAGGAUGCCCGGGUUUGCCCGGAGCCGGGCGGGCUGCAGCCCCUCCGCGCCGCAGCCCCUGCUCCUUCGGUGAAGUAUCACAGAUUUAUUUGGCUGUGAGAGUGGGUUUGCGGGAGGAGGAGAGAUAAACGGCCCUGAGAAAUGCAGGGGCUUUUCACAGGGAGUAUCUGUACCUGAUGCCUAAGUCGUCAGUGGGAUUUGCCUGUUGCAGUACUGCCAAGCUGGUUUGAGGCUAGCUGUCCUCAGAAGAAGCAUGGAGUCUCAAGUUCCCCAGCCAGUACCCUAGAGAGAA